RNAcentral lists this unclassified non-coding RNA (219 nucleotides) under soil metagenome. Its description in RNAcentral is "partial contains 5.8S ribosomal RNA, internal transcribed spacer 2, and large subunit ribosomal RNA". The record is from RNAcentral.
AACGAGGCCGACCUGCGGCUGAGUUACCUGCGGAAGGAUCAUUACAAGUGACCCCGGCCUAACCACCGGGAUGUUCAUAACCCUUUGUUGUCCGACUCUGUUGCCUCCGGGGCGACCCUGCCUUCGGGCGGGGGCUCCGGGUGGACACUUCAAACUCUUGCGUAACUUUGCAGUCUGAGUAAACUUAAUUAAUAAAUUAAAACUUUUAGCAAUGGAUCU